UAAACGGACCAAACUUCAGCCAGGAGAACAACUGAGAUAAUCCAUCCACAAUACGCGAAGUUGACCACGCUGCAGCUGUCAGCCAGCGACCAGGACAGCGAGCCGGGCGAGCGAAACUAAACCAAACCCAACUUUUCCCACCGCUUUCAGACCCUGAUUUCACCUGGCAACCACCACAAACCAGUGGCUUUACCCCCAAAGUUGCCAGGGGUGUGCAGCGCUGUGGUCCAUUGAUCACCUCUCCGGUUUGAGCCUGUCCACAGACAUGCUUGUCAAUUGGUGAUUCUAAAGUGCCUGUUGGUGUGAUGGAAGUAUUUAAAAAAGUGUCGGCAGGGUGUGGGGACGGGAGCUGAGCCGAGGAAGCAUUCAUGCAUCAAAUACCAAGAGAGUCAGAGGAACACCGGGGAGGACGACAACAAAACUAAAACAGGGAGCUAAGAACUUCACUACUGUAUGUUUUCAAUGUUUUUGUCUCUUUUUACGGAAUCAAACUCAAAGUAAGCUUUAAACCCUGCAUGGUCGUACUCUCUCCUGCACUCCAUAUUAUCCUUUGUUGAUCUACACACGUCUG
Molecule: long non-coding RNA, 571 nt
Organism: Oreochromis niloticus (Nile tilapia)
Lineage: Eukaryota; Metazoa; Chordata; Actinopteri; Cichliformes; Cichlidae
Exons: 3
Source: RefSeq, a predicted model, not a curated record